GUGUCUUUGAGGUUCUAACCUAGACCCGUCAUCCGGGUCGGGGACCGUGCAUGGUAGGCAGUUUGACUGGGGCGGUCUCCUCCCAAAGCGUAACGGAGGAGUUCGAAGGUUACCUAGGUCCGGUCGGAAAUCGGACUGAUAGUGCAAUGGCAAAAGGUAGCUUAACUGCGAGACCGACAAGUCGAGCAGGUGCGAAAGCAGGACAUAGUGAUCCGGUGGUUCUGUAUGGAAGGGCCAUCGCUCAACGGAUAAAAGGUACUCCGGGGAUAACAGGCUGAUUCCGCCCAAGAGUUCAUAUCGACGGCGGAGUUUGGCACCUCGAUGUCGGCUCAUCACAUCCUGGGGCUGUAGUCGGUCCCAAGGGUAUGGCUGUUCGCCAUUUAAAGUGGUACGUGAGCUGGGUUUAAAACGUCGUGAGACAGUUUGGUCCCUAUCUGCAGUGGGCGUUGGAAGUUUGACGGGGGCUGCUCCUAGUACGAGAGGACCGGAGUGGACGAACCUCUGGUGUACCGGUUGUAACGCCAGUUGCAUAGCCGGGUAGCUAAGUUCGGAAGAGAUAAGCGCUGAAAGCAUCUAAGCGCGAAACUCGCCUGAAGAUGAGACUUCCCUUGCGGUUUAACCGCACUAAAGAGUCGUUCGAGACCAGGACGUUGAUAGGUGGGGUGUGGAAGCGCGGUAACGCGUGAAGCUAACCCAUACUAAUUGCUCGUGAGGCUUGACUCUAU
RNAcentral lists this ribosomal RNA (725 nucleotides) under Neisseria meningitidis. RNAcentral's name for it is "partial 23S ribosomal RNA". It matches the Rfam family "Bacterial large subunit ribosomal RNA", at positions 2208 to 2925 of the family's 2925-position model. The record is from RNAcentral. Lineage: Bacteria; Pseudomonadati; Pseudomonadota; Betaproteobacteria; Neisseriales; Neisseriaceae.